UUUGUGGAGAGUAGAGGUUGAUCCUAGAGUCACAAGGAGCUUUUCUUCUCUACCUGAUGGACAGGAGCUUUUAUCCAAAAGGCCUGGAAUCUGCUUUAAAACUCUUCCAUGACUUUUCAUCAAACAAAGAAAUUGCGAACAUGCUAAUCCUGAUAUGGAUGCAAGACUCCAGAUGUCAUUGCCAUUAGCUUGAUUCCCAUAUAAGAUUGGCAUUUAUUUAUUUAUGCAUGCGUCCAUGUUGCUAUAGUGUCUAGUGGAUCAGGGUCCGAUGGCACAAGGCACUGUAUAAACGCAUAACAAAGAGCUUACAGUAUAAAUAAAUAUUCUAGGCUCUGACAAGCUUGUAGAAUGACACCCUGAGAUAGAGGAUGGCCAUGGAAUGUUGUGUCUAGAAAAGUACAAUUCUCCUUUAAAAUAAGGAAUAUCCUUUGUGAGUACAAGGUUCAGGAGCCCAGGGAGCUUUCUUGGACCAGCAGCAACAGAUAAUUUUUCUGUUGUCAUCAGCCUUUUAUAAGAAGUGAUAGGUUGGUUCUGUUGUCUUUUUUAAAAGAAAACAACAUUGAGAAUUUAGGCCUAGAUUUUCCUUUCUAUUUAAGGCCAGGUUGGGCUGCAAUACUACACAGCACAAAGUAGCCUUAUACCAUCCAGAGCGGUGUUUCUCAACCAGGUUACAUAUACCACUGGGGUGCAUGGAUGUCUUCUAAGGGGUACAUCAACUCACAUAGAUAUUUGCCUAGUUUUACAAUAGGCUACAUAAAAAGCACUGGCAAAGUCAGUACAAACUGUGACUUUAUACUGCUCUAUAUAUUAUACACUGAAAUACUCCUGGAUUCCUGUUGAUGCUAGGCUCUCACGGCAACAUGUGUGAGUAACACUUUCUACCAUCUCUAGUUGGCUAGGAGACUCUGUCCCAUCCUGGAGGAUGAUGACCUGGCCUCAGUUAUACACACCUUUGUCACCUCUUGGCAGGACUGCAACUAAGCAAUACACCUGGGCAUAAAGGCUUCAGCGCUUAGGAAACUCCAACUAGUACAGAAUAUUACAGAGCAGGGGGUGACCAAACUGCGGCUCGCGAGCUGCACGCUGCUCUUUUACAGUUAAAGUGUGGCUCAUGGAGAGGGGAGAGCUAGGGGCUUCUGCCCAGCAGGGAGGGGGCACCUGCUGGGGCUUGAGCCCCGCCACUCCCAUCCCCACAGGACUGAAGCCCUGAACCCUAGCAGGCAUCUCCCGCAGGGCUGAAGCCCCAAGACCCCUCUCCCGACAAGGCUGGACCCUGAGCCCUAGCAGGUGCCUCCGACAGGGCAGAAGCCCCUUGCCCCACCACACUGCCACAGGGUUGAAGGCUCCGUGAGGCACAGCUCUCAAACUUCUGAAGAUUGUCAUAUGCAGCUCAGAGGGUCAGAAAGUUUGAUCACCCAUUCUACAGAGCAUCUUCUCAGCAACACAGGUUAUUGUGAGCAUAUCUAACUUGUCCUCUGCUCUCUACAAUGGCUUCCCAUGGACUGUCGAAUCAAAGUCUAGGUCCGUAUCUUCAAGGGACUCCAUGGCCUGGACACAGCUAAUAGAACACCUAAAGCUCCAGGAUGAAGAUUAUGGCUAACAGUUUUGCUCCUCUGGCACAAUGGAAUCUGCCAAAGCUCAUCUUUGCAUGAGAGAGAACUUUUUCAUGGGCGGUUCAAGAUUGUGGAAUGAACUCCCACAGGAACUAAGGACCAUCACAAACCUCACUAUCUUCUGCUCCAAGUACAAGGCACAAUGCUCUGUCCUUGCCUUCUGUAACAAAAAUACUUAGCUCAGAAUAUUUUUUUGAAACCAAAAACCUACCAAAACAAGACACGCUACUUCAUACUCCUCUCCCCUGGGGAUAGAGCGAGAGAACAAAGAGCAUGUGACAAAUGUUGGUCACAUUGACUAAGACACUCAGAUACUACGGUGAUCAUAGUAUUAGAUCCUGUAUAGAACAGAAGAAUGUGUGGUAGAGCUUAUAUCUGCUACACCUAGUUUCUGUUGGGGCACGUGGCAUUGUAAGGAGUUUAAGUUAGAGCAGUCAGGGUACUGCUCUAACUUGUGCAGAAGCUGGACUCUGGAUCUCUGCAGCCACCCUUCUCCAUUAUAUCUGCGGGUGGAUGUAGCUGAAAAUCAGAGACUUCAAAUGCAAAACUAAAAACUAAAAUAGAACCCUAAAAAAAUCAAAGUUUUUUUCAUGGGGGGGAGGGGAAACAGGACAGUUUCACUGUAGCCAUUAAUUCCUGUUGAUACUAAACUCUCACUUAGCAGCUUCUGUGAGUAAUGUUUCCAAGGACGAGGCCCUUGAGCAAACAAGUACUUGUGUAUACUUGCCACUUUACCACAAUUUUGCAAGCAAAUAAGUUUACUCGUCCACCCGUUUUUGCAUGCAGUUGUGGUAAAUGUAGAUAAUUGCAGUCAUAGUUAUGGUAAAUGCAUGUGUAGAAGUAACCAGGCAAAUAUACAUACAUUUUUCAGUGAACAAGUGGAUCUCUACUCACUGAAAAUGUCUCUUGUUAAUUUGUUCUGGAUUUCUUCUAGGCAGUCAGUUUAUACACUGUGCUACUGGUUCCACCUCCUCCCAGAAGAAAAGAAACCUUUCCAAAUAAACUUGUGAAUUGACACAUAGAUAUUAUGGUGAUGGGCAGAUCACAAAUGCCUAGAUGGAGUUCUGGUUAGUUCCCUUCUAGCUGAAAUUCAUAUAGUAGGAAAAUACUCAUUUCAUUAAAUAAGGAGCAUUGUGAAUACAGUUGCUACAUAAUGCAGCCAUGAAUUCCAGUCUGUGCCCCAUCAGCUUCCAGUUUUAAAAAAUAAAUAGGUGCACUCCUCCAACAAAUACAACUGGCAUAGACGGCAAGCAUGGAUCAGAGCUGGCAUAUUUCUUAACACAUCUGAUGCUUUCAUUCAUUAAUGAAUGUUUCCAAUAAAUAAAAUAUCACAAUUUCAGAUAUCCAUAUUUUAUCAAGAUGGAAUGAAAGUGGAAACAAGGCAGUAAAGAAUAUUGAUGUGUGCUAACAUGGGCCCAAAUAAUAUAUGCGGUUAACCAUACUCUUUAGGAGGAUGUGGUAAAGAUCUAAUAAGGUCACGAUUAGUGCAUAUUAGUGGUAAGCUGCAUUGCUGUAUUUACUUUGUUGCUUUCUUUUCAGUUUGAAUGUAAGAGACCAUUACUUUAUAAGUUCCACUUACUGCAGAACUGAAAAGGCAUAUCCUUCAUCAUGAUCUUAAAGCUGAUCUAAAAGGCUUUUUACCUUCCAAGACCUUAGUGGUGGGCUUUGAUUCUUCUAUUUAGAGGUAUUGACUUUGAUGACGCUUCAAGCAAGGAAUUACAUUCCUUUAACUUCUUGAGUAGUUAGUGUUGCUGCCAACUGGCAGAAAACCAGAGUCCUGAAUUCUGGAACUGAUGGGUAAAUAGAAGUUAUGAUUUUGUUUGGAAUUGUAAAAUGUUUGUUGAUAAUGCACAUUUUAUUGAGGUAGGAUCUCAAACUUUUAAACACUUUUAAAAUAUUACCGUUUACUUUUCAGAAUGGUUUUCAGUUUGAACAAAUGCAAUAGCAGCCCAGAUGUCAUGGUUUCUGCAGUGGCUUCUUUCCGGGGGGGGGGGGGGGGGGGGGGAGAGUAGCCUGGGAAACUACACAAAGAUCCAAGAGGAUCUCAAGAAAUCUGCUGUGUAAAGGGCUGAGUCCUCUGCUUUUUCUGGAGAGUGGCAGAAUCAUGGAAAGAUUAGGAGGAAACUACAUGAGCUGAAACUAGUGAAUUUUCUUACCUCUUACAGAGAUUUUCCCUUUCUCCCUGAGGAGAAUUUAGCCCCAAAUUAUUUUAUGAUAGUUCAGUAGAAUGUACAUUAAAGAAAAGAGGAAAGAAUUGAGGUGCAGCAUCUGAAGUGUGUUUCAUUUCUGUUGCAGGCGAGGUUCAUAAAGUGAGGCAGUGAAUUGUUCCUAUAGUGUAUUAUGUGUUCCUUUUUUUUCUGCUUGCUAGUGAAGUGCUGCAGAAAGGACCUGGACCACUUGGCACAGCAAAUGAGCUUCUUAAAAAUAUAUUUUAAUGAAUAAUAGAUACUCAGCAUGAGCCAUUAUUGUUUGAGCUAACAGAUAGCUAGGAUUGUAAAUGUCUAUAUAGUCUAGUCACUAGAGAGAACAGAGAACCACACUGAGUAAGCAUGGGUUACACCUAUGUUUCAAUUUUGAUAAGGAGGAGGAAAGAAUGUUUUGAGCAACCAUCAACUAUAUGACAGAAGAGGUCACUUUCAUGGAAAGAGAUGUAAUCAAACAUAUAGCAACUAAGAGUUUCAUUAUUUUAAGCAGGGGGAGAAAUUAUUGAAACCUUUUUGCCAACGUUUAUCCGUUUCAAUUAUUUUUGAUGGUAUGUAUUCCAUGUAUGUUUUAGCUACAGUACCUUUAUAUCGACAGUUGGUAGCACAAGUCUUUUAAAGCACAAAGAGUAGCAGCUCUUCAGCCAAUCUGUGAUAAAAGAGAAAAAAAUGAAAUCACUAUGGAAACUGCAGGAAGAAUCUAAAAGCUUUCUUUAUAAAGUAAAUGUCUGAUGUUUGUGACUGCAGGGGCACAAAAUUCAUAAACCUGUAUGAUGCUAUCACUUCUGAUUUGUUAUCUCAGCAAAUGCCAAGUCUAAGCAGCCUGACCUUAGCUUUAUUAAGAGCUUCCUUUUUAGAAAUAGUUACUAUUCAACAAUGGAAAGACUGCAGUGCUGCAAGUGGGGGAAACUAAUUUGUUUAAAAUGUGGCUUUAAAAAAAAUCACACAGACCUCAAGGCUUAGAGAGUCAGGAACACUGUGAGGUUUUUAGUAAUGCAGCAACUAAGGGAGCUGAAUGCAAUUCAGAAAACUUAUGUUUCAUUUCCAUUACAUGCCUGUAUUUGAUCUCAAAUUGAAAAUCUCUGACCUUCCUCCUCCAAUCCAGAAGCAAAUAAAUACUAAAGAAAAGGAAACCCCCUCUUCUUUCAGCACACAGGGCCUCUAAGACUGAAAAAUGAAGGUGACUGCUACUAUGAACCUGUUUGGACACCAGACAGCAACAAAUACCUGUCUCAGUGAAGGAGUUUAAGAGCACUGCAGAGAUCUUCAGGCGUGCAGAGUAUCUUGGCUUACACAGGCCACGGUCUUUAUUUCAAAACAGUACUAGUCGUGGUUUCUCUGCACCUGCAACUGAAGAACUAGAGGAACAGGAGGACAGCAGUAAAUCUUCUAAUCCAAAACUCUUCAUGUCACAGAAAAUACCCUGAAGCCUAAGCAGGAUGAGACUCUUGAUUCAGAGGAGGAGAACAGCAUACGGCACAAUGAAGCUACAAGAGAAGCUCUGACCGUUUUGUUUUUUUUCCCCUUCAUCAAGCUACUGUACACAUGGCCUUUCAAGAUGAGCAACUCCCAUAGAACAUCACUUACUGCGGAAGAAUCUUUGGCUGACCUCAUUGAGGUGAAUGAAGAAUAUGGCAGAUGAAAUGAGAAUGAGGGGAUUAUGCAUCUGAAAACCAAGGACAUCCAGUUAAAGCUCAUUUUAUUUUAAUCUUCCAUGUGGAUGAUUGAUCAUACCCGCCAGCUGGCUAAUAUCAUAAUUAACAAAGUUACUACCACAUCUGAGAAGUAUAAUCGAAAAAUUUACCAGCAGUGUGAUGCCAUUGUCACAAAGAUCAUAAGCAUUACAGAGUCGACUUUUGCAAUCGUGGAGCUGCAGAACUAUGUAGAUGUGCUGAGAAGGGGUGCACUUGUACAGCUAAAGUGAGAUGCAGUUGCAGAAAGAGAAAGAUUUAGUUCUGGCAAAACUAGUCCAGUGGCAAAGUGCAGAACUGAUGUGGCUGUCAUGGUAAAGGAAUUCCAGAAUAAAGAACCACUGUCCGAAGCUAAUCUUUACACCUGGGAGUUAGAUGGUAUCAAUGGAAAAAAAUGGGAACUCAUUAAAGAGAAAACAUUAAUCAAGCAGAAGGAAGUUCUUUCAGAGACAGAUCAAAUCAGCUGUUUUGAUGAAAUACAGUGUAUGUCAAUGUAAAGGAACUAUUUGAGAGACUAUGGACAACUGCUGUUCAGUUUAACAUUAUAUGACAAGUGGGUGAAUGUCCCUCUCUUACAAGUCAAUGCAGAGGAAGUGGAAAAGAGGUUCAGAAUUUAUGGAAGACUAGCUACAAACUGACAAAGGUAUUUUGUCAACUAGACUUGCAUAGCCUUUUGAAAGUGCCCACAACUAUGAAAACAAAAGCUGAAAAAAUUUAAAAUCAACAUGUCACUUAUUAAAGCUCUGUGUACACCUGGGAUUUAGCCAAGACCCUGGAAUAUGAUGAGUCAAAAGGUUCUGCUGGAGGAUCACAUUGUGAAAACUACGGCCAUGAAAGGCCCUCCAUUUAUUGCACCCUUCAAAAACGAAAUAUUAGCAUGGGAGGCUAAGCUGUGCCACUAAUGCAGGAGAUUAUGGAAACCUGGCUGCAAGUUCAAAAGGCCCUGGUGACCAUUCAUUGCUCACAAGAUACAUGUAACCAAAUAUCAGUAGAAGGAAAGAACUUUGAAGUUAUCAGUAGGAACUGGAGGCUAAUAAUGAAGGAGUCAGUGAAGGAGGCCAAUGGCAUGAGGGUUAUCUCACAGUCCCAGAUGCUGGAUAAGUUGAAGGAGGCAGAAUCGCUUUUGGAUGACAUUCAGAAAGUCCUGAAUGAUUAUUUGGAGAAGAAAAGACUAUUCUUUCUAAGGUUUUUUCUUUCUGUGCCACGAUGAGCUCUUAGAAAUCCUUUCUGAGACAAAGGAUCCACUCCAAGACCAACCACACCUAAAUAAAUGCUUUGAAGGAAUUGCCAAGAUCACUUUUAAUCAAGAGAAAGAAAUUACUCACAUGGAGUCAGCAGAAAAUGAAAAAGUAGAACUCGUGCUGUGAAUAAUUCCAGCAAGUGCCAAGGGGCUAGUUGAGAAAUGGCUUCAUGAGGUGAAUAUCUUUAGCUCUUACUUAGGGUUUAGCUACUGUAUAAUCAUUUUCUCUUUUAGGAGCAAGGAAUAUCAUAAGCAUAUUUCCUAACUAAAUAGCUGUCUGAGAACUUAUCAGAUUAUUUAACAGAUUGAAUAUCAGCCUUAUUGUUAUUAUUUAUUACACCUAAUUGGCACGUGCAAACAUGCAAAAAUUAAUUUUAAUAAAGAGGUUAUCAGUGUGUGAGACAGUUAAUAAAAAAGUGUGUGUGUCUGAAAGCACAUAUGUGACUAUAUGUUCAAAUCUAUGUAUAUGUAUUUUUGUUGUCUUCUCCCUGUAAUUUUUAUCGUUUGGAAAGAGAGAUUUUUUUACAAAGCAGUUUAAAGGAACGUGAAGAGAUUUUUUUGCACACCCUCCUUCCCCCAAAAAUCUUAAUUUUCAAUACAUAUUGAGCAAAGGGAAGAGAAAUAUUUAAUUAACAAUAUACUAACCUUUCCCCUUUGGGCCUAUGAUCCAAAUUAAUCCGUUUCAGUGUGAAAUUAGUUCGAUGACCUUUUUUGUUUGCUUUAUUUUUACCUUCCUCUGUUACACGAUCAAAGUGGAUCCUUCCUCUGAUAUACAAUUCUAGGCCAAGUCCACUUCCAAUCUCUCCUUUUUUCUUUCAAGACAGAAUCAGCCCCAGGUACACAUCUUUCCUUUCUGUUGUUAUUGCAGGCACUGCUUUUACCCCAUUAAAUCUCUACCUUUACCUCUUGCCUGUCUCUUCACUUCAGGCUGUCAGCCAACCAGGGUAUACAAUUGAGAAAAGCAAUACCAUAUACUAGAAAGGGAGAAAAGGAAAAACAAAACAAAACCAAAAAACACACAUAGAAUGUUUUUUCCAAGAUGGAUUCUGCUGGGGCGGGGGGGGGGGAUUUGUCAAAGGAACUGAGAGUGAACUUUAGCUGAGAGCAUUACUUCUGUUAUGUGCCGAGUUGGCCGGGUGAGCAAAACAAAACAGCUCAAGUCCUCUCAUGAUUCCAUGUUUCCCACAUAACUGAGCCACAUAUCACCAUGCCAACUUAGAAUUAAUCUUUUUUAAAGUGACUGCACGCAAUUUAAAACAGCUCAUCACAGUUAGUCAGGGGAGGAUAAGGACAGAGCCUAUUUAGGCACAAAUACUUCCUUCCCUACUCUCCAAAGAAAAUUAUUAAACUUUAUUUUUGUACUCAUUUUCAGCACAAUGUUAUGUUCUUUGGAAAAACAUGGGCAUUAGAGAGCUAUGGUAGGUAUGAGAUAUGCAGUUAUGAGGAGCUAGGAAAGGCAGAUCUCACCAUACCAGAAAACCUGCUGUAUGUUGUUUAGUUCUCUCUCUCUCCAACAAAAAAGAGAGAGAUAGGGAGAUGAGCAGCUGUGUUUAUUUUAAUACAUCUCAUUUAACCCUCACCUAAAAACAAAUGGAAAGGUUUGGGAGUGCAUUAAUCUGGACCCAAUUAGCAUCUCUUUCUCCCUCAAAAGUGCAACCUGAGAUUAAUGAAUAUAAAAUAGAGUUUCAUAUGCAGUCUUUAAGUCAUUUGCAUGUUUUAUGCAUGAUAAUUGAAUUUAUUUAUGCACUUCCUUUCAUUUAAUGAUUUCCUGCUCUUUCCUGUGCUAUCCACAUUGUACUAUCCAAGAAAUAGGAGUUGAUAGGCAAGCAAGGAUAGGAGUAGAUAAAUAAAACCAAGUAAAUUUUUAUGUCUUAUGUCAACUGUAAAUAAAAAUUAAUGGGUUAAUAUAAAAUAUUUUAGUUAAAGUAUAUGCUCUUAGCCUUUUCAGAGACUUUGGAUAUUGCUUAGUAUGCUUGUAAAUGUACAAGCAAAAUUAUUUUCAAAAGGCCAUGAAAGGAAGUUAAAUUAUUGUAUUGACAUUUCUAUGACCCUAGAGACUUGUGUUUCAACUUGGCCAAUUAGUAGUAAUAAGAUAAUCAGAAGAUGAAUAGUAAUUACAUUAAUAACUAAUAGUAUUCAGCCCAGGACCUAGAGAAUCAGUCUGGUUUAGAAUAUAAUAGUACAUUAUAAUUUGUCUUAUUCAGUAUUUGAUCAGUAGAAAUAUGAGCAUUGGAUGCCUAGUAAAUUUAUCAUAGGCAGGAUGUAUAAAUUCUAGAGAUCAGUUUGCCACAUUACUGGCCCUGCGAUUGUGCCUGUAAAGUGACAUAAUGGGGAAAAUUGCUUUUUUCUCCCAUUUAAGGUCAGAUGUCCUAGUGAUUACAUGGUGCUGGUGUCUGAAUUCUCUACAAUGCAAAGUCCAUCCUUGUGAUGGUCAUGCCAGGAAGCUACUUUGGGAAAGGGUUUUUUUUUUAAAGGAUUCUGGUAGUGUUUCUCAUAGUUUUGAUUUGUGCCAGUGCUUCUCUUGUCUCUUGUCUUUCCUUCUGUGUUUAAAGAUGUAUGUGGAAGUGAUCUUUUUCUGUGGUGUCCUGUCUUUUUCAGUGACUUAAUUGGUUGUGUGUUGUGAUUGUUUCCUGAUCUUUGUAGGUAGGAAUGUCUUCAAAGGCUAAAGUUCUGUUAAUUUGUGAUGUAACAAUUUCAGUGUGUUUCUUGUCAUUGAAAUGUAGUUUAAAAUGUUCAGUAAUGUAGCAUGAAAUUAUUGGUUAGUUUUGAAAUGGUUGUGAAAUCAUGUGAAGAAAAUAAGUAUUGCAUCUGAUCAAGAUAAAUUCACUCUAGUGUUUUAUGGCUUUUUAUUCCUAUGUGAUAGUAAUAAAGUCUCAUGUAGGGAUGGAAGCCAUGAAAUACAUUGUGAAAAAUCAUCAACUAAGAUGGGGCCAUGAGUAUAGAAAAUGGUAUAGUUGUAGAGCUACUGAAAAUUGUUGGAAAAUGAUUUAGUAUGUCACUAUGUUGAUUACCAUGUUUGCAUUUUAUUUCUUCAUCCCUCACCCAUGUAGUUUGGCAAGUAAGGAAAUUAGUUUAUAACAGGUUGAUUCACCUUUACAUCAGUGUUAAAUGUUUAAAUUGUUUAUACAUUUUUUUUAUUUUCUACUCAAAAUAACACUGUACAUGAAACACUAAACUAAUUAGUUAAUACUGUAAAAAAACAAGAAAACAAAACAAAAACCCAACUUGUGAAUUUCCAAAUUCACGUUAUUGCUACCUAGAUUAAGAAUGAAACAAACUAAGGUAUCCCAUUAGUCCAUGGUCCAGGUUUUUUUACUCCCACACUCAAUAAUAGACCUGAAUGAUGAGCUAGCAUGUAAAUAAUAAUUAUUUUUCUAUUGACAUGUUUUUCUCAAAGUAUACAUUCUCUUCUUUUCCUCUUCUGGUAAUAAAACAAGGGAUUAUAGCUCUGAGGGCAGAAAAAGCACCUAUGAGAAUGUUCAUAAUAGUGCCAACAUCCCAUAUAUUGCUUUACUUAUCCAAGUUUUGUCAAUCUUUGUAUAUCUUUCUGUCUUGGGUUUCAUUUUGUUUGUGGGACACUUCUGUGAAGUGAGUGAAUGUGAGUCAUUCUUAUAUAACUAAUUUAUUUUUACAGUCUUCUUUCUGUAUUCUUUCUCAAUGCACAUUAAUAAAAAUAUUUUUGUUA
Molecule: long non-coding RNA, 10430 nt
Organism: Dermochelys coriacea (leatherback sea turtle)
Lineage: Eukaryota; Metazoa; Chordata; Testudines; Dermochelyidae
Exons: 13
Source: RefSeq, a predicted model, not a curated record